GUUUGAUUCUUUGUAGAGGUUGGCCCGGCCCCGGAAAGGCGGCCAAGGAACCAGCAGAGUUUUUCCUGGCUCAGAACGAACGCUGGCGGCAGGCUUAACACAUGCAAGUCGAACGCCCCGCAAGGGGAGUGGCAGACGGGUGAGUAACGCGUGGGAACAUACCCUUAUCUUCGGAACAACUCCGGGAAACUGGAGCUAAUACCGAAUGUGCCCUUCGGGGGAAAGAUUUAUCGGAUAAGGAUUGGCCCGCGUUGGAUUAGCUAGUUGGUGGGGUAAAGGCCUACCAAGGCGACGAUCCAUAGCUGGUCUGAGAGGAUGAUCAGCCACAUUGGGACUGAGACACGGCCCAAACUCCUACGGGAGGCAGCAGUGGGGAAUAUUGGACAAUGGGCGCAAGCCUGAUCCAGCCAUGCCGCGUGAGUGAUGAAGGCCUUAGGGUUGUAAAGCUCUUUCACCGGAGAAGAUAAUGACGGUAUCCGGAGAAGAAGCCCCGGCUAACUUCGUGCCAGCAGCCGCGGUAAUACGAAGGGGGCUAGCGUUGUUCGGAAUUACUGGGCGUAAAGCGCACGUAGGCGGACAUUUAAGUCAGGGGUGAAAUCCCGGGGCUCAACCUCGGAACUGCCUUUGAUACUGGGUGUCUUGAGUGUGGAAGAGGUCAGUGGAAUUGCGAGUGUAGAGGUGAAAUUCGUAGAUAUUCGCAGGAACACCAGUGGCGAAGGCGGCUAGGUCCACAACGACGGAGGUGCGAAAGCG
This 753-nucleotide ribosomal RNA is filed under the name Pseudorhizobium halotolerans. Its description in RNAcentral is "bacterial SSU rRNA". It matches the Rfam family "Bacterial small subunit ribosomal RNA", at positions 1 to 761 of the family's 1533-position model. Lineage: Bacteria; Pseudomonadati; Pseudomonadota; Alphaproteobacteria; Hyphomicrobiales; Rhizobiaceae. The record is from RNAcentral.